This is an RNA transcript of Lotus japonicus, 2004 nucleotides long. RefSeq lists it as uncharacterized. NCBI's taxonomy places the organism in Eukaryota, Viridiplantae, Streptophyta, Magnoliopsida, Fabales, Fabaceae. The record is from RefSeq and is a predicted model, not a curated record. The transcript is spliced from 6 exons.
UGUAUUAAAUAUAUUCAGUUUAUUCACAAUUACAUGAUGAGGAUAUACAUAGAAACUAGAGUAACAAAUUUCUAGCUAACUGAUAAGCCUGUAACAGAUUGCUAGCCAAAGUGAUGAACCUAUAGAUUAGGAUCCCAAAGUUCAAGUUUGAAUAUGUAACAGACCAAGUAUAACAGCUUGAUGUUAACAGAUCUUUGCUGCUAUUGCUAUGAUCUUAUCUUAUGCGUUAAUAGGAUCAUGAAGUGCUUAAACUUUAAACUAUCAAGAGUUUAUGUGUUCUAUGAGCUUGCUGUUUUAAGUUCCACCAUCUCAGACGCUACACAUAAAAAAUUAUUUGCUUGUGUUUUUAUUUUUAUUUCUAUUGUAUUUUGAGGUAGGAGAGAGAAAUAUGAUCUUUUUUGGAAUGUAGAUAUAGAUUUUGGGUUGCUUGAUUUGCUGUAAUAGAUGGUAAGUCACCAUCAGUUUUGUCCUCACAAGUGUAUAGUUGAUCUGGUUGUCCCUUGAAUUGGUCUUCACUUGCUCACAUUAUGAAUGUUUCUAACUAUUUUCUUGGCUAUUUCAAUUAUUGGGUUUUUAUCUGGCUUUGGAGUAUUCUUCACACUUAUUAUGUCAAGUGUUAUAUUCCAUUCUUUGCCUUUAUUUUCUAUGAUUGAAUGUGACCAUUUGGAUCCAUUCUUAAAUUUCAGUUGGAGCCGUCAAUUUCAUUCAUAUUCGUAUUCAGCAGAAACAUCAAACACAUACAACUAUCCAUCUUUUUGUUCAGUUUCUGCUCCAUCUCUCAAUCUAUUUCAAUCUCACACAACCAACCAACCAUAUCUUGCAUGUUCCAAUUUAUUCUUCAUCCAAUCCAUUUGAUUUCACACACAAAACAACAAAAACGGCUCAAUCGUUCAUUCACUGAUAUUUCACUGCAGCCACAUCCACCUUCACUGAACCAGAUUUUGUGUUGAUAGGUCAACAUGGAGAUCGAUAGAGCAAUCAGAGAGUGUGACGAUCGAAGGCUUCAGACCAAGUAUAAACAAUGCUACCUAUGUUAUUCAGAGAGCCUUGGCUUUGUAUUCGAUGGGACGAAAUGAGGAUAUCCAUUGAUAUGUAGAGAAGGUGGUAGCUUGGUCUCGAGAAAGAGGGAGCAGAAGGUAGAGAAGUUGCUAUUAUUCUUCAUUGGUUCAAUGGGAUGGAUCAACAACUGGUGAGCACCAAGCAGAGUUUCAAUUUGAAUUGAACCAGUAGUGACUCAUUUCUAUGGUUAUCCACCUCCAUUUUUAAGGCCCAAGUUUCCAAGGCAACCAGGAAUGCCAACUGGUGAGCACCAAGCAGAGUUUCAAUUUGGUAAAUUGAACCAGUAGUGACUCAUUUCUAUGGUUAUCCACCUCCAUUUUUAAGGCCCAAGUUUCCAAGGCAACCAGGAAUGCCAGUUGUUAGAUGAGAGAAGAUCAUCAUUGUCUUAUGGUUUAUUCAUCUACUUAUCGAGGUGAUUGGGUACAAAAGAUGACGAGGGUUACCUGUGAUUUUGGCGAUACAAUGUAGAAAGAGGCAGUGUCUUCUAAAAUCUCACUCCAGAAUUCUUUCCCUAUUCACGUUCCCCGAUGAAAGUCCAAGCCUCUCUUUCAAUCUGAAUAUAUGCAUUUAAGAUGAUAAUAGAGGUAUUGCUUUAGGUGGAGACAGUAUCCUAGAGUUAGUUGAUUAGUUUUAACAUACGAGAAUUGUGAUUCAGUGGCUAAAAGCUAGAAGUAUGAGGCGAAAAUGUCAAUGAUAUUUAUACUUAUCCAUAUGUGCAUGUGAGCCUCACUUAGAACUCGAGUUCUAUCUCUCAAGAGUUGAGAUUUACGCGAUAUCAAUUUAAAGAGUGGGUCUAUAGUUUGUUUGUAAGAGUUUUAAGACUUUCAAGAUUUGUAAUUUUGUGCUAUUCUUGAAUUAAUUCUGGUUCCUUGGCACAAUAUGCACGAAAACUACCAUGUAUUAUUUGCAAGAAAAUUGAAUAUGAUUGAUGCUUAGGGAGUAGAA